This 394-nucleotide ribosomal RNA is filed under the name Parahaemophilus pittmaniae. RNAcentral's name for it is "Haemophilus pittmaniae bacterial SSU rRNA". It matches the Rfam family "Bacterial small subunit ribosomal RNA", at positions 385 to 774 of the family's 1533-position model. Lineage: Bacteria; Pseudomonadati; Pseudomonadota; Gammaproteobacteria; Pasteurellales; Pasteurellaceae. The record is from RNAcentral.
GACGCAGCAUGCCGCGUGAUGAGAAGGCCUUCGGGUUGUAAAGUUCUUUCGGUAGUGAGGAAGGUGGUUAGUUUAAUAGGCUAGCCAAUUGACGUUAACUACAGAAGAAGCACCGGCUAACUCCGUGCCAGCAGCCGCGGUAAUACGGAGGGUGCGAGCGUUAAUCGGAAUAACUGGGCGUAAAGGGCACGCAGGCGGACUUUUAAGUGAGGUGUGAAAGCCCCGGGCUUAACCUGGGAAUUGCAUUUCAGACUGGGAGUCUAGAGUACUUUAGGGAGGGGUAGAAUUCCACGUGUAGCGGUGAAAUGCGUAGAGAUGUGGAGGAAUACCGAAGGCGAAGGCAGCCCCUUGGGAAUGUACUGACGCUCAUGUGCGAAAGCGUGGGGAGCAAACA